Molecule: ribosomal RNA, 1518 nt
Filed under: human gut metagenome
Description: bacterial LSU rRNA
Rfam family: Bacterial large subunit ribosomal RNA
Source: RNAcentral
CAACCCAGACCGCCAGCUAAGGUCCCAAAGUCAUGGUUAAGUGGGAAACGAUGUGGGAAGGCCCAGACAGCCAGGAUGUUGGCUUAGAAGCAGCCAUCAUUUAAAGAAAGCGUAAUAGCUCACUGGUCGAGUCGGCCUGCGCGGAAGAUGUAACGGGGCUAAACCAUGCACCGAAGCUGCGGCAGCGACACUAUGUGUUGUUGGGUAGGGGAGCGUUCUGUAAGCCUGUGAAGGUGUACUGUGAGGUAUGCUGGAGGUAUCAGAAGUGCGAAUGCUGACAUAAGUAACGAUAAAGCGGGUGAAAAGCCCGCUCGCCGGAAGACCAAGGGUUCCUGUCCAACGUUAAUCGGGGCAGGGUGAGUCGACCCCUAAGGCGAGGCCGAAAGGCGUAGUCGAUGGGAAACAGGUUAAUAUUCCUGUACUUGGUGUUACUGCGAAGGGGGGACGGAGAAGGCUAUGUUGGCCGGGCGACGGUUGUCCCGGUUUAAGCGUGUAGGCUGGUUUUCCAGGCAAAUCCGGAAAAUCAAGGCUGAGGCGUGAUGACGAGGCACUACGGUGCUGAAGCAACAAAUGCCCUGCUUCCAGGAAAAGCCUCUAAGCAUCAGGUAACAUCAAAUCGUACCCCAAACCGACACAGGUGGUCAGGUAGAGAAUACCAAGGCGCUUGAGAGAACUCGGGUGAAGGAACUAGGCAAAAUGGUGCCGUAACUUCGGGAGAAGGCACGCUGAUAUGUAGGUGAAGCGACUUGCUCGUGGAGCUGAAAUCAGUCGAAGAUACCAGCUGGCUGCAACUGUUUAUUAAAAACACAGCACUGUGCAAACACGAAAGUGGACGUAUACGGUGUGACGCCUGCCCGGUGCCGGAAGGUUAAUUGAUGGGGUUAGCGGUAACGCGAAGCUCUUGAUCGAAGCCCCGGUAAACGGCGGCCGUAACUAUAACGGUCCUAAGGUAGCGAAAUUCCUUGUCGGGUAAGUUCCGACCUGCACGAAUGGCGUAAUGAUGGCCAGGCUGUCUCCACCCGAGACUCAGUGAAAUUGAACUCGCUGUGAAGAUGCAGUGUACCCGCGGCAAGACGGAAAGACCCCGUGAACCUUUACUAUAGCUUGACACUGAACAUUGAGCCUUGAUGUGUAGGAUAGGUGGGAGGCUUAGAAGUGUGGACGCCAGUCUGCAUGGAGCCGACCUUGAAAUACCACCCUUUAAUGUUUGAUGUUCUAACGUUGGCCCCUGAUCGGGGUUGCGGACAGUGUCUGGUGGGUAGUUUGACUGGGGCGGUCUCCUCCUAAAGAGUAACGGAGGAGCACGAAGGUUGGCUAAUCCUGGUCGGACAUCAGGAGGUUAGUGCAAUGGCAUAAGCCAGCUUGACUGCGAGCGUGACGGCGCGAGCAGGUGCGAAAGCAGGUCAUAGUGAUCCGGUGGUUCUGAAUGGAAGGGCCAUCGCUCAACGGAUAAAAGGUACUCCGGGGAUAACAGGCUGAUACCGCCCAAGAGUUCAUAUCGACGGCGGUGUUUGGCAC